CGUGCCCUGGACCCCAAGCGGGAUGAUCUAGCCCUCGGCAGGUAGAACCGCGGGAAAGACCGCGAGGACGAUCGAACCCACCUGGGUUGAAAACCGGGGGGAUGACCUGGGGCUAGGGGUGAAAGGCCAAUCAAAUUCCGUGAUAGCUGGUUCUCUCCGAAAUGCAUUUAGGUGCAGCGUCGGUUGAUUGCAUCGCGGGGGUAGAGCUACUGGAUGCUUGCGGGCCCGUGUCGGGUACCAAUAGCAGCCAAACUCCGAAUACCGUGGAUGUGUAUUCCGGCAGUGAGUCGGCGGGGGAUAAGCUCCGUCGUCGAGAGGGAGACAGCCCAGAUCGUCGUCUAAGGUCCCGAAGCGUGUGCUAAGUGGGAAAGGAUGUGGAGUCGCAUAGACAGCCAGGAGGUUGGCUCAGAAGCAGCCAUCCUUGAAAGAGUGCGUAACAGCUCACUGGUCUAGUGGUUCCGCGCCGACAAUGUAGCGGGGCUCAAGCACACCACCGAAGACGCGGCAACAGUUUUUGCUGUUGGGUAGGAGAGCGUCCCGCGUGGGGCGAAGCGGCCGUGGAAACGUGCCGUGGACCGCGCGGGAGCGAGAAUGCAGACAUGAGUAGCGAGAGACGGGUGAGGAUCCCGUCCGCUGGAUGACCAAGGGUUCCGGGGCCACGUUCGUCGUCCCCGGGUGAGUCGGGUCCUAAGGCGAGGCCGACAGGCGUAGUCGAAUGGAUGAACGGGUGGAUAUUCCCGUACCGGCAGCGAACCGCAAGAGCCGAACGGAUGAGUACUAACCUCCGGUCGCGUGGCGUCGUUCCCUUCGGGGUUCGGGGCGUGCGAUUGUUGGGAGCGUAGUCCUGGUAGGUUAGCGCACAGGGGUGACACGGAAUGGGAGCCGGCCGCGGAGGUGGUUUUCCGUGGUCAAGCACGCAGCCCGUCCCAUAGGCAAAUCCGUGGGACAUGUAGGGUGAGGUGCGAUGAUGGGCGCCUUUUGGCGCGAUAUCCGGUGGUCCAGGCCGUCGAGAAAAGCCUCGGCGCGAGGGGCGUUGCCGCCCGUACCCCAAACCGACACUGGUGGUCAGGUAGAGAAUACCAAGGCGAUCGAGCGAAUCCUGGUCAAGGAACUCGGCAAAUCACUCCCGUGCCUUCGGUAUAAGGGAGACCCCCGGACGUGAAGAGGCUUGCCCUCGGAGCGUUUGGGGGUGGCACAGACCAGGGGGUAGCGACUGUUUACCAAAAACACAGGUGCAUGCGAAGGCGCAAGCCGCUGUAUAUGCACUGACGCCUGCCCGGUGCCGGAAGGUUAAGAGGAUCCGUCAGCCCUCGGGUGAAGCGGUGAAUUCAAGCCCCGGUAAACGGCGGUGGUAACUAUAACCAUCCUAAGGUAGCGAAAUUCCUUGUCGGGUAAGUUCCGACCUGCACGAAUGGCGUAACGACUUCCCCACUGUCUCGACCAGGAGCUCGGCGAAAUUGCAGUACGAGUAAAGAUGCUCGUUA
This 1484-nucleotide ribosomal RNA is filed under the name human gut metagenome. RNAcentral describes it as "bacterial LSU rRNA". It matches the Rfam family "Bacterial large subunit ribosomal RNA", at positions 703 to 2068 of the family's 2925-position model. The record is from RNAcentral.